RNAcentral lists this long non-coding RNA (506 nucleotides) under Helianthus annuus (common sunflower). The record is from RNAcentral. Lineage: Eukaryota; Viridiplantae; Streptophyta; Magnoliopsida; Asterales; Asteraceae.
ACACACACUUAAAGUGUGUGUUCUGGUCGUGACAAUCACAGGAGCCAAGGGAGGGUUCCUUACUCAAACCCUAACUUGCCUAAAUCCAAGAAAUUGAGAGGCCAAAUCAGUCCCAAAUCAAAAUCCAAGCUCGUAUUCAUGAACACCAAGUUGAAAGGAUCACAAGUUUGACGCGUAACAAGCUAGGUGGAAGCUUGGAGUGAAAGCGGGUCAAACAAGUCAAGCAUGGAAGAAAAGCGUAGCUCGGAUGCAAGGAGCGAUUAGCGAUUCAGUUAAUUACGCCCACACUAAGUGUGAUGAUAAAAGCGAGGUAUAAAUUGGGUCUAUAUGUUGACCCUAGCCAGGUGCUUUCUGGGAUGCCGGAGGACGAUCAAGCUCAGCGAAGAACCGAACACGAUAAAGAUACACGCUUCCGCGCAUUGCAACGUUGUAGAUUUUAAUCAACGAAUUCGAUCACGUUUUGUAGAAUAACGGAUGAUUUGUAAAAGUUUUUAAUAAACCCGUAU